Non-coding RNA from Lepisosteus oculatus (spotted gar), 158 nucleotides. NCBI's taxonomy places the organism in Eukaryota, Metazoa, Chordata, Actinopteri, Semionotiformes, Lepisosteidae. The record is from RefSeq and is a predicted model, not a curated record.
GCCGGUGGUGCUGGCGGCUUCGGUGGCCGCGGAGGGGGGUUCGACCGAGGCGGCCGGGGCGGACCCAGGGGCCGCGGGGGGAUGAGCAUGGGUGAUCGCGGAGGAUUCAAUAAGUAUGGUGGACCCAGAGACCAGGGACCUGGGGGCCCCAACCCAAG